GACGAACGCUGGCGGCGUGCUUAACACAUGCAAGUCGAACGGAAAGGCCCUGCUUUUGUGCGGUGCUCGAGUGGCGAACGGGUGAGUAACACGUGAGUAACCUGCCCUUGGCUUUGGGAUAACUUCAGGAAACUGGGGCUAAUACCGGAUAGGAGCUCCUGCUGCAUGGUGGGGGUUGGAAAGUUUCGGCGGUUGGGGAUGGACUCGCGGCUUAUCAGCUUGUUGGUGGGGUAGUGGCUUACCAAGGCUUUGACGGGUAGCCGGCCUGAGAGGGUGACCGGCCACAUUGGGACUGAGAUACGGCCCAGACUCCUACGGGAGGCAGCAGUGGGGAAUAUUGCACAAUGGGCGGAAGCCUGAUGCAGCAACGCCGCGUGCGGGAUGACGGCCUUCGGGUUGUAAACCGCUUUCGCCUGUGACGAAGCGUGAGUGACGGUAAUGGGUAAAGAAGCACCGGCUAACUACGUG
Molecule: ribosomal RNA, 468 nt
Filed under: uncultured bacterium
Lineage: Bacteria
Description: partial 16S ribosomal RNA
Rfam family: Bacterial small subunit ribosomal RNA
Source: RNAcentral